GAUGAACGCUGGCGGCGUGCCUAAUACAUGCAAGUCGAGCGAACAGAUGAGGAGCUUGCUCCUCUGACGUUAGCGGCGGACGGGUGAGUAACACGUGGAUAACCUACCUAUAAGACUGGGAUAACUUCGGGAAACCGGAGCUAAUACCGGAUAAUAUAUUGAACCGCAUGGUUCAAUAGUGAAAGACGGUUUUGCUGUCACUUAUGGAUGGAUCCGCGCCGCAUUAGCUAGUUGGUAAGGUAACGGCUUACCAAGGCAACGAUGCGUAGCCGACCUGAGAGGGUGAUCGGCCACACUGGAACUGAGACACGGUCCAGACUCCUACGGGAGGCAGCAGUAGGGAAUCUUCCGCAAUGGGCGAAAGCCUGACGGAGCAACGCCGCGUGAGUGAUGAAGGUCUUCGGAUCGUAAAACUCUGUUAUUAGGGAAGAACAAAUGUGUAAGUAACUAUGCACGUCUUGGCGGUACCUAAUCAGAAAGCCACGGCUAACUACGUG
RNAcentral lists this ribosomal RNA (497 nucleotides) under uncultured bacterium. RNAcentral describes it as "partial 16S ribosomal RNA". It matches the Rfam family "Bacterial small subunit ribosomal RNA", at positions 28 to 507 of the family's 1533-position model. The record is from RNAcentral.